GGGUUGUGAGGUUAAGCGACUAAGCGUACACGGUGGAUGCCCUGGCAGUCAGAGGCGAUGAAGGGCGUGCUAAUCUGCGAUAAGCGCCGGUAAGGUGAUAUGAACCGUUAUAACCGGCGAUACCCGAAUGGGGAAACCCAGUGUGAUUCGUCACACUAUCAUUAACUGAAUCCAUAGGUUAAUGAGGCGAACCGGGGGAACUGAAACAUCUAAGUACCCCGAGGAAAAGAAAUCAACCGAGAUUCCCCCAGUAGCGGCGAGCGAACGGGGAGGAGCCCAGAGCCUGAAUCAGCAUGUGUGUUAGUGGAAGCGUCUGGAAAGGCGCGCGAUACAGGGUGACAGCCCCGUACACAAAAGCGCAUGUGCUGUGAGCUCGAUGAGUAGGGCGGGACACGUGGUAUCCUGUCUGAAUAUGGGGGGACCAUCCUCCAAGGCUAAAUACUCCUGACUGACCGAUAGUGAACCAGUACCGUGAGGGAAAGGCGAAAAGAACCCCGGCGAGGGGAGUGAAAAAGAACCUGAAACCGUGUACGUACAAGCAGUGGGAGCCCCACCACUAAGCCAGUGGUGAACUCCACAUACGCAUCCUUUGCUGAGGAUACGGUUAACGGAGCGAAAGCGACGUUCAACCUCAAAAGAAGCAGAGG
Molecule: ribosomal RNA, 647 nt
Filed under: Salmonella enterica
Lineage: Bacteria; Pseudomonadati; Pseudomonadota; Gammaproteobacteria; Enterobacterales; Enterobacteriaceae
Description: partial 23S ribosomal RNA
Rfam family: Bacterial large subunit ribosomal RNA
Source: RNAcentral